Molecule: ribosomal RNA, 253 nt
Filed under: uncultured bacterium
Lineage: Bacteria
Description: partial 16S ribosomal RNA
Rfam family: Bacterial small subunit ribosomal RNA
Source: RNAcentral
UACGUAGGGGGCUAGCGUUGUUCGGAAUUACUGGGCGUAAAGCGCACGUAGGCGGUUUUGUAAGUCAGGGGUGAAAUCCCGGGGCUCAACCUCGGAACUGCCUUUGAUACUGCAAGUCUCGAGUCCGAUAGAGGUGAGUGGAAUUCCUAGUGUAGAGGUGAAAUUCGUAGAUAUCAAGUGGAACACCGGUGGCGAAGGCGGCCUUCUGGACAGUGACUGACGCUGAGACGCGAAAGCGUGGGGAGCAAACAGG